RNAcentral lists this ribosomal RNA (253 nucleotides) under uncultured bacterium. Its description in RNAcentral is "partial 16S ribosomal RNA". It matches the Rfam family "Bacterial small subunit ribosomal RNA", at positions 524 to 776 of the family's 1533-position model. The record is from RNAcentral.
UACGAAGGGGGCUAGCGUUGCUCGGAAUUACUGGGCGUAAAGGGCGCGUAGGCGGACAGUUAAGUCAGAGGUGAAAGCCCAGGGCUCAACCCCGGGAGGCGGGUGGAUACUGGUCAGCUCGAGUCCGGAAGAGGAGUGUGGAAUUCCUGGUGUAGCGGUGAAAUGCGCAGAUAUCAGGAGGAACACCAAUGGCGAAGGCAGCACUCUGGGACGGUACUGACGCUGAGACGCGAAAGCGUGGGGAGCAAACAGG